GCGGGUGUAACUCAAUGGUAGAGUACCUGCCUUCCAAGCAGGUUAUACGGGUUCGAUUCCCGUCACCCGCU
RNAcentral lists this transfer RNA (71 nucleotides) under Pseudomonadota bacterium. RNAcentral's name for it is "tRNA-Gly". It matches the Rfam family "tRNA". Rfam says of the family: Transfer RNA (tRNA) molecules are approximately 80 nucleotides in length. The record is from RNAcentral. Lineage: Bacteria; Pseudomonadati; Pseudomonadota. RNAcentral also lists the same sequence under 1 other name.